This 253-nucleotide ribosomal RNA is filed under the name uncultured bacterium. RNAcentral's name for it is "partial 16S ribosomal RNA". It matches the Rfam family "Bacterial small subunit ribosomal RNA", at positions 524 to 776 of the family's 1533-position model. The record is from RNAcentral.
UACGGAGGGGGCUAGCGUUGUUCGGAAUUACUGGGCGUAAAGCGCACGUAGGCGGCUUUGUAAGUUAGAGGUGAAAGCCCGGGGCUCAACCCCGGAAUUGCCUUUAAGACUGCAUCGCUUGAACGUCGGAGAGGUGAGUGGAAUUCCGAGUGUAGAGGUGAAAUUCGUAGAUAUUCGGAAGAACACCAGUGGCGAAGGCGGCUCACUGGACGACUGUUGACGCCGAGGUGCGAAAGCGUGGGGAGCAAACAGG